GGUUGUGGCUCAGCGGUAGAGCGCUCGCCUAGCAUGUGCAAGGCCCUGGGUUGGAUCCUCAGCACCA
RNAcentral lists this transfer RNA (67 nucleotides) under Marmota monax (woodchuck). RNAcentral's name for it is "tRNA.Ala". Lineage: Eukaryota; Metazoa; Chordata; Mammalia; Rodentia; Sciuridae. The record is from RNAcentral.